Molecule: ribosomal RNA, 368 nt
Filed under: uncultured Glomeromycotina
Lineage: Eukaryota; Fungi; Glomeromycota
Description: LSU rRNA
Source: RNAcentral
UUGAAAGGGAAACGAUUGAAGUCAGUCGUGCUGGCGCGAAAUCAGCUCGACCACUAGAGAUCGCUGGCCGUAGCGAGCCUCAAAACCGCUACUACUUGUGAUUGCUUAGUGGCCUGGUGCACUUUCGUGUCGGCUGGUUAACAUCAAUUUCGAUCGUCAUAAAAAGGCUGGAGGGAUGUGGCUCCUUCGGGAGUGUUAUAACCUUUAGCGGAAUGUGGUGGUUGGGAUUGAGGUUUGCAACGAAUACCUUUAGGGCUGUUCCACCUGGCUUCUCAUCGGCAUCCUGGCGGCGACAGCUUGCUGACGUUGUUAGGAUCGGCCUUCGAACAGGCUAGAGUGUGAGCAAAUUCGUUAAGGAUGUUGACGUA